RNAcentral lists this ribosomal RNA (640 nucleotides) under Hepatozoon canis. RNAcentral describes it as "SSU rRNA". It matches the Rfam family "Eukaryotic small subunit ribosomal RNA", at positions 181 to 809 of the family's 1831-position model. Lineage: Eukaryota; Apicomplexa; Hepatozoidae. The record is from RNAcentral.
UCUCAACUUUAUUAGAAGAGACGCAUUUAUUAGAUAAAAAGCCAAUGCAUGCUUUUACAGUAUGGAAAUUGGUGAUUUAUAAUAACUUGGCAAAUCGCAAAGUGAAAACAGGCGAUAAAUCAUUCAAGUUUCUGACCUAUCAGCUUUCGACGGUAUGGUAUUGGCUUACCGUGGCAGUGACGGUUAACGGGGGAUUAGGGUUCGAUUCCGGAGAGGGAGCCUGAGAAACGGCUACCACAUCUAAGGGAGGCAGCAGGCGCGCAAAUUACCCAAUUCUAACAGUUUGAGAGAGGUAGUAACAAGAAAUAACAAUACAAGGCAAUUAAAAUGUUUUGUAAUUGGAAUGAUAGAAAUUUAAACCCUUUUUAAAGUAUCAAUUGGAGGGCAAGUCUGGUGCCAGCAGCCGCGGUAAUUCCAGCUCCAAUAGCGUAUAUUAAAAUUGUUGCAGUUAAAAAGCUCGUAGUUGAAGUUCUGCUAAAAGUAACCGGUCUGCUUUUAAUAAAAGUGGUAUCUUGGUGUGUAUUUAGCAAUGAUGUCCUUUGAAGUGUUUUUUACUUUAUUGUAAUAAAGCAUAUUCAGGACUUUUACUUUGAGAAAAUUAGAGUGUUUCUAGCAGGCCGACGCUUUGAAUACUGCAGCA